AUUGAACGCUGGCGGCAGGCCUAACACAUGCAAGUCGAGCGGAUGAAGGGAGCUUGCUCCUGGAUUCAGCGGCGGACGGGUGAGUAAUGCCUAGGAAUCUGCCUGGUAGUGGGGGAUAACGUCCGGAAACGGGCGCUAAUACCGCAUACGUCCUGAGGGAGAAAGUGGGGGAUCUUCGGACCUCACGCUAUCAGAUGAGCCUAGGUCGGAUUAGCUAGUUGGUGGGGUAAAGGCCUACCAAGGCGACGAUCCGUAACUGGUCUGAGAGGAUGAUCAGUCACACUGGAACUGAGACACGGUCCAGACUCCUACGGGAGGCAGCAGUGGGGAAUAUUGGACAAUGGGCGAAAGCCUGAUCCAGCCAUGCCGCGUGUGUGAAGAAGGUCUUCGGAUUGUAAAGCACUUUAAGUUGGGAGGAAGGGCAGUAAGUUAAUACCUUGCUGUCCUGACGUUACCAACAGAAUAAGCACCGGCUAACUUCGUG
This 484-nucleotide ribosomal RNA is filed under the name uncultured bacterium. RNAcentral's name for it is "partial 16S ribosomal RNA". It matches the Rfam family "Bacterial small subunit ribosomal RNA", at positions 30 to 507 of the family's 1533-position model. The record is from RNAcentral.